CAGUCGACGCACAGCGAAAGGUGCUUGCACCUUUCAAGUGAGUGGCGAACGGGUGAGUAACACGUGGACAACCUGCCUCAAGGCUGGGGAUAACAUUUGGAAACAGAUGCUAAUACCGAAUAAAACUUAGUAUCGCAUGAUACCAGGUUAAAAGGCGCUACGGCGUCACCUAGAGAUGGAUCCGCGGUGCAUUAGUUAGUUGGUGGGGUAAAGGCCUACCAAGACAAUGAUGCAUAGCCGAGUUGAGAGACUGAUCGGCCACAUUGGGACUGAGACACGGCCCAAACUCCUACGGGAGGCUGCAGUAGGGAAUCUUCCACAAUGGGCGAAAGCCUGAUGGAGCAACGCCGCGUGUGUGAUGAAGGCUUUCGGGUCGUAAAGCACUGUUGUAUGGGAAGAAAAGUUAAGGUAGGGAAUGACCUUAGCCUGACGGUACCAUACCAGAAAGGGACGGCUAAAUACGUGCCAGCAGCCGCGGUAAUACGUAUGUCCCGAGCGUUAUCCGGAUUUAUUGGGCGUAAAGCGAGCGCAGACGGUUGGUUAAGUCUGAUGUGAAAGCCCGGAGCUCAACUCCGGAAAGGCAUUGGAAACUGGUUAACUUGAGUGCAGUAGAGGUAAGUGGAACUCCAUGUGUAGCGGUGGAAUGCGUAGAUAUAUGGAAGAACACCAGCGGCGAAGGCGGCUUACUGGACUGUAACUGACGUUGAGGCUCGAAAGUGUGGGUAGCAAACAGGAUUAGAUACCCUGGUAGUCCACACCGUAAACGAUGAACACUAGGUGU
Molecule: ribosomal RNA, 781 nt
Filed under: Leuconostoc carnosum
Lineage: Bacteria; Bacillati; Bacillota; Bacilli; Lactobacillales; Lactobacillaceae
Description: bacterial SSU rRNA
Rfam family: Bacterial small subunit ribosomal RNA
Source: RNAcentral